Molecule: transfer RNA, 74 nt
Filed under: Thermoprotei archaeon
Lineage: Archaea; Thermoproteati; Thermoproteota; Thermoprotei
Description: tRNA-Thr
Rfam family: tRNA
About the family: Transfer RNA (tRNA) molecules are approximately 80 nucleotides in length. Their secondary structure includes four short double-helical elements and three loops (D, anti-codon, and T loops). Further hydrogen bonds mediate the characteristic L-shaped molecular structure. tRNAs have two regions of fundamental functional importance: the anti-codon, which is responsible for specific mRNA codon recognition, and the 3' end, to which the tRNAs corresponding amino acid is attached (by aminoacyl-tRNA synthetases). tRNAs cope with the degeneracy of the genetic code in two manners: having more than one tRNA (with a specific anti-codon) for a particular amino acid; and 'wobble' base-pairing, i.e. permitting non-standard base-pairing at the 3rd anti-codon position.
Source: RNAcentral
CCCCGGUAGCUCAGGUGGUGGAGCACCGCCUUGGUACAGCUGUCUCGAAACGCGGGUUCAAGUCCCGCCCGGGG